RNAcentral lists this ribosomal RNA (253 nucleotides) under uncultured bacterium. Its description in RNAcentral is "partial 16S ribosomal RNA". It matches the Rfam family "Bacterial small subunit ribosomal RNA", at positions 524 to 776 of the family's 1533-position model. The record is from RNAcentral.
UACGAAGGGGGCUAGCGUUGCUCGGAAUCACUGGGCGUAAAGGGUGCGUAGGCGGGUCUUUAAGUCAGGGGUGAAAUCCUGGAGCUCAACUCCAGGACUGCCUUUGAUACUGAGGAUCUUGAGUUCGGGAGAGGUGAGUGGAACUGCGAGUGUAGAGGUGAAAUUCGUAGAUAUUCGCAAGAACACCAGUGGCGAAGGCGGCUCACUGGCCCGAUACUGACGCUGAGGCGCGAAAGCGUGGGGAGCAAACAGG